GAUGAACGUUGGCGGUGUGCCUAAUACAUGCAAGUCGAACGGGGAGUACAAAGUAGUAAUACCUUGUGCUCUCAGUGGCGAACGGGUGAGUAACGCGUUGGUGACCUGCCCCGAAGUGUGGAAUAACAGUUCGAAAGAAUUGCUAAUACCGCAUAUGAUCAUUUAGCUUGAAUACUUUUUGAUCAAAGGAUUUAUUCGCUUCGGGAGGGGCCUGCGUCCCAUCAGCUAGUUGGUAAGGUAAUGGCUUACCAAGGCGAUGACGGGUAGGGGACCUGAGAGGGUGGCCCCCCACAAUGGAACUGAAACACGGUCCAUACACCUACGGGAGGCUG
Molecule: ribosomal RNA, 332 nt
Filed under: uncultured Chloroflexota bacterium
Lineage: Bacteria; Bacillati; Chloroflexota
Description: bacterial SSU rRNA
Rfam family: Bacterial small subunit ribosomal RNA
Source: RNAcentral